Prevotella sp. CAG:873 is the source of this 399-nucleotide non-coding RNA. It matches the Rfam family "transfer-messenger RNA". From Rfam's summary of the family: Bacterial tmRNA, also known as 10Sa RNA or SsrA, is named for its dual tRNA and mRNA-like properties. Its role is to liberate the mRNA from a stalled ribosome. Lineage: Bacteria; Pseudomonadati; Bacteroidota; Bacteroidia; Bacteroidales; Prevotellaceae. The record is from Rfam.
GGGGCUGACCGGUUUUGACAGCGUGUCGAGGCGGUAUGUAAGCGUGCAGAGCGAUGAUGCCCACGCUCUUUAAACAGAGACAUCAGUAAAUUUAAAUGGCGAAAACAACUACGCUCUCGCUGCUUAAUCGAAGUACAGUAGAUUAGCUUUAUCCCUGCAACAGUUGCGGGGACGAGACAUCGCCCGAUUGUCCUUUUUCCGAGACUAAUCGAUCCGGCGGUGCAGGUAUAUCGGGAAUAGUACUGACGGCGCCCGGACGUCUGUGCGAAACUCUUAGGGAUAAGGGGUGGUUUGGUCGUCCCGGCCUGGCCAUCUUCGAAAACCAAUCGGAGACUACGCACGUAGAAAGCAUAUUGGUUCCACGUUUGGACGAGGGUUCGAAUCCCUCCAGCUCCACAU